RNAcentral lists this ribosomal RNA (345 nucleotides) under Clostridioides difficile. Its description in RNAcentral is "partial 23S ribosomal RNA". It matches the Rfam family "Bacterial large subunit ribosomal RNA", at positions 1 to 347 of the family's 2925-position model. The record is from RNAcentral. Lineage: Bacteria; Bacillati; Bacillota; Clostridia; Peptostreptococcales; Peptostreptococcaceae.
UGGUCAAGUUAUUAAGGGUGCAGGGCGGAUGCCUUGGCACUAGGAGCCGAUGAAGGACGUGAUAAGCUGCGAUAAGCUUCGGGGAGUUGCACGUAAACUUUGAUCCGAAGAUUUCCGAAUGAGGAAACUCACUUAGAGUAAUGUCUAAGUAUCAUUAAGUGAAUACAUAGCUUAAUGAGGGGAACUCAGGGAACUGAAACAUCUAAGUACCUGAAGGAAGAGAAAGAAAUUCGAUUCCGUAAGUAGCGGCGAGCGAACGCGGAUUAGCCCAAACCAAUAAAGUUUUCUUUAUUGGGGUUGCGGACAUAUCAUAACGAAGAGGUAUCGUAAUUGAAGAGGUUUGGA